UACGUAGGGCGCAAGCGUUGUCCGGAAUUAUUGGGCGUAAAGAGCUCGUAGGCGGUUUGUCGCGUCUGCUGUGAAAACUCGGGGCUUAACCCCGGGCCUGCAGUGGGUACGGGCAGACUAGAGUGCGGUAGGGGGAGACUGGAAUUCCUGGUGUAGCGGUGAAAUGCGCAGAUAUCAGGAGGAACACCGGUGGCGAAGGCGGGUCUCUGGGCCGUAACUGACGCUGAGGAGCGAAAGCGUGGGGAGCGAACAGG
This 254-nucleotide ribosomal RNA is filed under the name uncultured bacterium. RNAcentral describes it as "partial 16S ribosomal RNA". It matches the Rfam family "Bacterial small subunit ribosomal RNA", at positions 524 to 776 of the family's 1533-position model. The record is from RNAcentral.